RNAcentral lists this ribosomal RNA (1540 nucleotides) under Klebsiella pneumoniae. Its description in RNAcentral is "bacterial SSU rRNA". It matches the Rfam family "Bacterial small subunit ribosomal RNA". Lineage: Bacteria; Pseudomonadati; Pseudomonadota; Gammaproteobacteria; Enterobacterales; Enterobacteriaceae. The record is from RNAcentral. RNAcentral also lists the same sequence under 1 other name.
AAAUUGAAGAGUUUGAUCAUGGCUCAGAUUGAACGCUGGCGGCAGGCCUAACACAUGCAAGUCGAGCGGUAGCACAGAGAGCUUGCUCUCGGGUGACGAGCGGCGGACGGGUGAGUAAUGUCUGGGAAACUGCCUGAUGGAGGGGGAUAACUACUGGAAACGGUAGCUAAUACCGCAUAACGUCGCAAGACCAAAGUGGGGGACCUUCGGGCCUCAUGCCAUCAGAUGUGCCCAGAUGGGAUUAGCUAGUAGGUGGGGUAACGGCUCACCUAGGCGACGAUCCCUAGCUGGUCUGAGAGGAUGACCAGCCACACUGGAACUGAGACACGGUCCAGACUCCUACGGGAGGCAGCAGUGGGGAAUAUUGCACAAUGGGCGCAAGCCUGAUGCAGCCAUGCCGCGUGUGUGAAGAAGGCCUUCGGGUUGUAAAGCACUUUCAGCGGGGAGGAAGGCGUUAAGGUUAAUAACCUUGUCGAUUGACGUUACCCGCAGAAGAAGCACCGGCUAACUCCGUGCCAGCAGCCGCGGUAAUACGGAGGGUGCAAGCGUUAAUCGGAAUUACUGGGCGUAAAGCGCACGCAGGCGGUCUGUCAAGUCGGAUGUGAAAUCCCCGGGCUCAACCUGGGAACUGCAUUCGAAACUGGCAGGCUAGAGUCUUGUAGAGGGGGGUAGAAUUCCAGGUGUAGCGGUGAAAUGCGUAGAGAUCUGGAGGAAUACCGGUGGCGAAGGCGGCCCCCUGGACAAAGACUGACGCUCAGGUGCGAAAGCGUGGGGAGCAAACAGGAUUAGAUACCCUGGUAGUCCACGCCGUAAACGAUGUCGAUUUGGAGGUUGUGCCCUUGAGGCGUGGCUUCCGGAGCUAACGCGUUAAAUCGACCGCCUGGGGAGUACGGCCGCAAGGUUAAAACUCAAAUGAAUUGACGGGGGCCCGCACAAGCGGUGGAGCAUGUGGUUUAAUUCGAUGCAACGCGAAGAACCUUACCUGGUCUUGACAUCCACAGAACUUUCCAGAGAUGGAUUGGUGCCUUCGGGAACUGUGAGACAGGUGCUGCAUGGCUGUCGUCAGCUCGUGUUGUGAAAUGUUGGGUUAAGUCCCGCAACGAGCGCAACCCUUAUCCUUUGUUGCCAGCGGUUCGGCCGGGAACUCAAAGGAGACUGCCAGUGAUAAACUGGAGGAAGGUGGGGAUGACGUCAAGUCAUCAUGGCCCUUACGACCAGGGCUACACACGUGCUACAAUGGCAUAUACAAAGAGAAGCGACCUCGCGAGAGCAAGCGGACCUCAUAAAGUAUGUCGUAGUCCGGAUUGGAGUCUGCAACUCGACUCCAUGAAGUCGGAAUCGCUAGUAAUCGUAGAUCAGAAUGCUACGGUGAAUACGUUCCCGGGCCUUGUACACACCGCCCGUCACACCAUGGGAGUGGGUUGCAAAAGAAGUAGGUAGCUUAACCUUCGGGAGGGCGCUUACCACUUUGUGAUUCAUGACUGGGGUGAAGUCGUAACAAGGUAACCGUAGGGGAACCUGCGGUUGGAUCACCUCCUUA